UCCUUAGCAGUUAAUUGAGUAGCAGAAUAAUGGUUUCCUUACAGAAAGGCUCGCAGACUGCACAGAGAGGUUGAUGCCUCUUUAGUCGCUGGGAACUUCAGUGACAUUCAAUAAUGAAAAGCUGUAGGAUUAUCAAGGAAAAAAGUGACAUUUGAGAAGGUCUAAAAGGGCAUAUUGUUAAAUGGGGAAAAGUCAGAUCCCAAACUACAUUACAUAUGAUUCCAUUUAUGUCAAGUUCAAAAACUGGAAGCACUGAUAUACGCUGUUAGAAGACAGGGCAGUGAGAUGAGGAGAAAAAAG
Long non-coding RNA from Gorilla gorilla gorilla (western lowland gorilla), 300 nucleotides. RefSeq lists it as uncharacterized. NCBI's taxonomy places the organism in Eukaryota, Metazoa, Chordata, Mammalia, Primates, Hominidae. The record is from RefSeq and is a predicted model, not a curated record. The transcript is spliced from 3 exons.